Molecule: non-coding RNA, 110 nt
Organism: Acanthosepion pharaonis
Lineage: Eukaryota; Metazoa; Mollusca; Cephalopoda; Sepiida; Sepiidae
Source: the annotation of a GenBank genome assembly
UGUCCAUAUCCUGCUGAAACAUCGGUUCUCAUACAAUUACUGAAGUUAAGCAAUGUUGAGCGUAGUAAAUACAUAGAUGGGUGACCAUUUGGGAAUAGUAGGUGCUGUAA